RNAcentral lists this ribosomal RNA (253 nucleotides) under uncultured bacterium. RNAcentral describes it as "partial 16S ribosomal RNA". It matches the Rfam family "Bacterial small subunit ribosomal RNA", at positions 524 to 776 of the family's 1533-position model. The record is from RNAcentral.
UACGUAGGGGGCGAGCGUUGUCCGGAUUUAUUGGGCGUAAAGAGCGUGUAGGCGGCCAGGUAGGUCUGCUGUGAAAACUCGAGGCUCAACCUCGAGACGUCGGCGGAAACCAUCUGGCUAGAGUCCGGAAGAGGAGAGUGGAUUUCCUGGUGUAGCGGUGAAAUGCGCAGAUAUCAGGAAGAACACCCGUGGCGAAGGCGGCCUUCUGGACCAGUACUGACGCUCAUGCACGAAAGCGUGGGGAGCAAACAGG